GACGAACGCUGGCGGCGUGCUUAACACAUGCAAGUCGAACGGAAAGGCCCUGCUUUUGUGGGGUGCUCGAGUGGCGAACGGGUGAGUAACAAGUGAGUAACCUGCCCUUGACUUUGGGAUAACUUCAGGAAACUGGGGCUAAUACCGGAUAGGAGCUCCUGCUGCAUGGUGGGGGUUGGAAAGUUUCGGCGGUUGGGGAUGGACUCGCGGCUUAUCAGCUUGUUGGUGGGGUAGUGGCUUACCAAGGCUUUGACGGGUAGCCGGCCUGAGAGGGUGACCGGCCACAUUAGGACUGAGAUACGGCCCAGACUCCUACGGGAGGCAGCAGUGGGGAAUAUUGCACAAUGGGCGGAAGCCUGAUGCAGCAACGCCGCGUGCGGGAUGACGGCCUUCGGGUUGUAAACCGCUUUCGCCUGUGACGAAGCGUGAGUGACGGUAAUGGGUAAAGAAGCACCGGCUAACUACGUG
This 468-nucleotide ribosomal RNA is filed under the name uncultured bacterium. RNAcentral describes it as "partial 16S ribosomal RNA". It matches the Rfam family "Bacterial small subunit ribosomal RNA", at positions 28 to 507 of the family's 1533-position model. The record is from RNAcentral.